GACGAACCGUGCGAACGUUGUUCGGAAUCACUGGGCUUAAAGGGAGCGUAGGCGGGCCUCCAAGUCAGGGGUGAAAUCCCACGGCUCAACCGUGGAAGUGCCUCUGAUACUGGCGGCUUCGAGGGGUGCAGGGGCGUGCGGAACUAAGGGUGGAGCGGUGAAAUGCGUAGAUAUCCUUAGGAACACCGGUGGCGAAAGCGGCGCGCUAGACACCUACUGACGCUGAGGCUCGAAAGCCAGGGGAGCAAACGGG
This 253-nucleotide ribosomal RNA is filed under the name uncultured bacterium. Its description in RNAcentral is "partial 16S ribosomal RNA". It matches the Rfam family "Bacterial small subunit ribosomal RNA", at positions 524 to 776 of the family's 1533-position model. The record is from RNAcentral.